This 1264-nucleotide ribosomal RNA is filed under the name Micrococcus sp. Its description in RNAcentral is "bacterial SSU rRNA". It matches the Rfam family "Bacterial small subunit ribosomal RNA", at positions 198 to 1475 of the family's 1533-position model. Lineage: Bacteria; Bacillati; Actinomycetota; Actinomycetes; Micrococcales; Micrococcaceae. The record is from RNAcentral.
GAAAAAAAGAUUUUAUUUCCGGUUUUUGGAAUGACUCCGCGGCCCUAUCAGCUGUGUGAAGUAUGGUUCACCAAAGGCGACGACGGUAGGCGACUGAGAGGGGUGACCGUCCACAACUGGGACUGAGACACACCCAGACUCCUACGGAGCAGCAGUGGGGAAUAUUGCACAAUGGGCGAAAGCCUGAUGCAGCGACGCCGCCGUGAGGGAUGACGGGCUUCGGGUUGUAAACCUCUUUCAGUAGGGAAGAAGCGAAAGUGACGGUACCUGCAGAAGAAGCACCGGCUAACUACGUGCCAGCAGCCGCGGUAAUACGUAGGGUGCGAGCGUUAUCCGGAAUUAUUGGGCGUAAAGAGCUCGUAGGCGGUUUGUCGCGUCUGUCGUGAAAGUCCGGGGCUUAACCCCGGAUCUGCGGUGGGUACGGGCAGACUAGAGUGCAGUAGGGGAGACUGGAAUUCCUGGUGUAGCGGUGGAAUGCGCAGAUAUCAGGAGGAACACCGAUGGCGAAGGCAGGUCUCUGGGCUGUAACUGACGCUGAGGAGCGAAAGCAUGGGGAGCGAACAGGAUUAGAUACCCUGGUAGUCCAUGCCGUAAACGUUGGGCACUAGGUGUGGGGACCAUUCCACGGUUUCCGCGCCGCAGCUAACGCAUUAAGUGCCCCGCCUGGGGAGUACGGCCGCAAGGCUAAAACUCAAAGGAAUUGACGGGGGCCCGCACAAGCGGCGGAGCAUGCGGAUUAAUUCGAUGCAACGCGAAGAACCUUACCAAGGCUUGACAUGUUCUCGAUCGCCGUAGAGAUACGGUUUCCCCUUUGGGGCGGGUUCACAGGUGGUGCAUGGUUGUCGUCAGCUCGUGUCGUGAGAUGUUGGGUUAAGUCCCGCAACGAGCGCAACCCUCGUUCCAUGUUGCCAGCACGUAAUGGUGGGGACUCAUGGGAGACUGCCGGGGUCAACUCGGAGGAAGGUGAGGACGACGUCAAAUCAUCAUGCCCCUUAUGUCUUGGGCUUCACGCAUGCUACAAUGGCCGGUACAAUGGGUUGCGAUACUGUGAGGUGGAGCUAAUCCCAAAAAGCCGGUCUCAGUUCGGAUUGGGGUCUGCAACUCGACCCCAUGAAGUCGGAGUCGCUAGUAAUCGCAGAUCAGCAACGCUGCGGUGAAUACGUUCCCGGGCCUUGUACACACCGCCCGUCAAGUCACGAAAGUUGGUAACACCCGAAGCCGGUGGCCUAACCCUUGUGGGGGAGCCGUCGAAGUGACCCGCCCU